AAACCAGCACCUCAAGUGGUCAGGAUGAUUAUUGGGCCUAAAGCAUCCGUAGCCGGCUCUGUAAGUUUUCGGUUACAUCUGUACGCUUAACGUACAGGCUGCCGGGAAUACUGCAGAACUAGGGAGUGGGAGAGGUAGACGGUACUCGGGAGGAAGUGGUAAAAUGCUUUGAUCUCUCGAUGACCACCUGUGGCGAAGGCGGUCUACCAGAACACGUCCGACGGUGAGGGAUGAAAGCUGGGGGAGCAAACCGGAUUAGAUACCCGAGUAGUCC
This 274-nucleotide ribosomal RNA is filed under the name uncultured bacterium. RNAcentral describes it as "partial 16S ribosomal RNA". It matches the Rfam family "Archaeal small subunit ribosomal RNA", at positions 473 to 747 of the family's 1478-position model. The record is from RNAcentral.